GACGAACGCUGGCGGCGUGCUUAACACAUGCAAGUCGAACGGAAAGGCCCUGCUUUUGUUGGGUGCUCGAGUGGCGAACGGGUGAGUAACACGUGAGUAACCUGCCCUUGACUUUGGGAUAACUUCAGGAAACUGGGGCUAAUACCGGAUAGGAGCUCCUGCUGCAUGUUGGGGGUUGGAAAGUUUCGGCGGUUGGGGAUGGACUCGCGGCUUAUCAGCUUGUUGGUGGGGUAGUGGCUUACCAAGGCUUUGACGGGUAGCCGGCCUGAGAGGGUGACCGGCCACAUUGGGACUGAGAUACGGCCCAGACUCCUACGGGAGGCAGCAGUGGGGAAUAUUGCACAAUGGGCGGAAGCCUGAUGCAGCAACGCCGCGUGCGGGAUGACGGCCUUCGGGUUGUAAACCGCUUUCGCCUGUGACGAAGCGUGAGUGACGGUAAUGGGUAAAGAAGCACCGGCUAACUACGUG
This 468-nucleotide ribosomal RNA is filed under the name uncultured bacterium. RNAcentral's name for it is "partial 16S ribosomal RNA". It matches the Rfam family "Bacterial small subunit ribosomal RNA", at positions 28 to 507 of the family's 1533-position model. The record is from RNAcentral.